CUAAAACACGCGAAUCUCCCUAUACUCGGGUCGGGUCACACGGGUCAGGGGCCAAAACGGCGUCGUUUUGAGCCCCUGAACCCACACAUCAAACGACGUCGUUUGCUUCUUCACAAAAACCCCUAAAAUUUCUUCUAUUGCUUCAUUUUCAGCCAACUUUAAGAAAGUUUCAGGAACUUUCUUCUCUCUACCAGGGUUUCAAACCCUUUCUAGUGCCACUGUCGGUCCUGCCCUCCUCCACCGUUGACGGCGGUCAUGGCAACAACAGACGGCUUUCCAGGUGAGCUCCUUCCCCUCCUCUUUUAUUUAUUUCAAGCCCCUUUUUUUUAUUUAAAACGUGUUUUGUAAAAUAAAUAGAGUAAAAACAAAUAGAAAAACCGAAAAUUCCAAACCCAAAAAAUAAGAGCAAAAACCUUUUGAACUUCUUUUCUUUCUUCGGAUUUCUGCCAAAAAUCGUUUGAUACAACCUUUUUGUAUUAUUUCUUCUUUGAUUGCUGGUGUUUGUGUGUAAAUACAAUUUUUUUUGUAUCCCCAAAAUUCCCCUUCUCAAAUACAAUCGGCCCCCAUUUCGUUCGAUUUCCUUUUCGACUUUAUAGCCGAUUACAAAAGAAAUAUUUUUUUGAUCUCUGCUAUUGCCUGCUGCUUCUGCUCUGUUUUGCUUCUCUUUUGCGUGCUUUUUGCUCUCUGUUUGUUUUGCAGGUGAUGGUAUGAUGGGACGGAGGCAGUGCAAGUGGAGGCAAGUGGCCCUAGGGUUUGCUGCUUCUUUUUUUUCUGUUGGUGGUCUUUGGGGUUAGUUUUGGGCUUGGGUAUAUUGGGCUGAUUUAGGCCCGGUCAAAUUUGGACCGGUACACUUUUAUUUUAGCCAUCCAACCAGUAAAUCUCUAACAUCAAUUAAUUAGUACAUGUCACAUAAUGUUCACAUUUUCAUUUUGGUCACUCAAAAAAUAUCUUUUUUUUUAAUAUUGAUCAGGGUAAAAAAAAAUUAAAGAUUAAAAUAAAAAAAGUAGAAACUAAAAUAAUUAUUUAAAAUUUUCAAAUUGUACUUGUUUACCUCACCGAAAAUUCUAAUUUUUUUUCAAUAUUGAAAUUUUAAAUUUUAGAACUUCAAAAUCAAUUAAAUAAGUUAUUAAAAUUUUUGUAUGAUAGUAUCAACCAAUUUGUUACUAUAAUAUUAAAAUUAAUUAAUUUAGUCACCUUUUGAAUAUUAAAAUUUUAUUUUAUGUUUCCAAAUUAAAAUAAACUCAAAUAAAUCAUCUUUAAUAAUUGUAUAUAGAACCCAAAUUUCUUUUUAUCAUAUGAUCUUAAAUCUUUCAUACUAAGCUAAAAGCAAAGCAAAAUCCUUAUAAUUAAUUUUAUCUUCCAUGUCAAACAAAAUUCAAAAUUUUUUCAUCAUUUCUUUACCCAAACGAAGAAUAAGCAAUUAAUUAAAUUAAUCAAAAUAAAUUUAAGUUUUACAGAAAAUUAUUAAAUAUGAGUUAUCGAGUUGAUUUCAUUAAAAAUAAUAGGGAAACAUAAAAUAAAAUUUUAAAAUUUAGGAGAUUAAUUUAAUUAAUUUCAAUAUUUUAAAGUAAAAAAUCGAUUAACAUUAUCAAGGGAUAAAAAAUUUUCAAUAAUUUAUUUAAUUGAUUUUUAUGUUUUGAAAUUUAAAUUUUUAAUAUUGAAAAUGUUAGAAUUUUCAGCAAUGUGAUAAACAAGUACAAUUUGACAAUUUUUGAUGCAUGAUUUUAGUUUAAUACAAUGAUUGAAUGGCUAAAAUUAAAGCGCCUUAAAAGUUGAGUGAUGAAAUUGCAUAGAUUUUAUUUUGAGAGACAAAAAUGAAAGCGCUCUAAAAGUUGGGUGACCAACUACAAUAAGUAGUUUACCCCGAAAAAUAAACUACAAAAAUAUUAACUAAACUAUACACUUGGUUUUAUUAUCGUCACUUAACUAUUACAAUCAUUCAACUUUUCAAAAUUAAAUAUUUUAGUGACGCUCCCUUAGUUGUUAUUAUCUAUUUAGGCUUUCUUAUUAUUAUAGUAACAAGUUUAACACUCCAAUAUUUGUAUAUUUUAUCUAUUUAAUCCUCAAUCUAAAAAGUUUAAUAAAUUUAAUCUUUAAUGUUUACAAAAUUUAUUAUUUUAAUUGACGUUCCAAAAGCUUAAUCACAACAACAUGAAUUCGCAAGUUGGAGCUAAUAUUUAGUUCGCACAUGGAACUCUCAUAUUUGAGAUACUUUUUUUUGUAAGUAACUCAGCAUGAGGGAACUAGUAUUUAGGUCAGAGCUGGCAUUUUUUAGAGGUUUUUUUUCUUUUUGGUAGCUAAUAUUUAUGCAAGAUGGAGCUAGCCAUCCCUAUUGAGAAAUUGAUGAAAGGCUUCCUAUGGGAUGAAUUGUUGGCCAUUGAAGCUACGGCCAAUGGUCUUGCCAAAAAUGCCAAUAUAUAAUACCUUGGAAUGAAUUAUUUGAUGCCAAUUUUAGAUGAAUGAGUAAAAGAAAUUGACCUAGUUCAAAUCUAAAACUCACCGUAAAUCCAGGAGUGAUCUCAAUUUUGGGGUGCGUUCAUUGGGAGGAGCCAUGACUAAUUUUUAGAGAUCCGAGUUAGUCCAAACUCAUUGCACCAAUAGUUUGGAAGAGAGCCAUAAGACCAAAUGGUGUUAGAAGUAUGGUGGAAGAAAGGGAGAAGCUGCUCUCCUCUGGGAGAAGAAGAUAGAAGAAGUGUAAGAAGAUUCUCUAUUUUUGUGGCCUUUCAAGGGCAUGUACAGGGUAUAGGGGACCUUUUGGUGGGCUCACACCAUGAUACCCUGCGAUGUAUAGGCUGGCUAUAAGAAAUGGGGGAUGUGAUAGAUGGGA
Molecule: long non-coding RNA, 2827 nt
Filed under: Gossypium barbadense (sea-island cotton)
Lineage: Eukaryota; Viridiplantae; Streptophyta; Magnoliopsida; Malvales; Malvaceae
Description: long non-coding RNA (GBAR_LNC008732)
Source: RNAcentral